This 494-nucleotide ribosomal RNA is filed under the name uncultured bacterium. RNAcentral's name for it is "bacterial SSU rRNA". It matches the Rfam family "Bacterial small subunit ribosomal RNA", at positions 802 to 1298 of the family's 1533-position model. The record is from RNAcentral.
GUAAACGAUGGAUACUAGGUGUAGGAUUCGAUAGGAUUCUGUGCCGGAGCAAACGCAAUAAGUAUCCCGCCUGGGGAGUACGACCGCAAGGUUGAAACUCAAAGGAAUUGACGGGGGCCCGCACAAGCAGCGGAGCAUGUGGUUUAAUUCGAAGCAACGCGAAGAACCUUACCAAGGCUUGACAUCCUCUGACGGCUGUAGAGAUACAGCUUCCCUUCGGGGCAGAGAGACAGGUGGUGCAUGGUUGUCGUCAGCUCGUGUCGUGAGAUGUUGGGUUAAGUCCCGCAACGAGCGCAACCCUUAUCAUUAGUUGCCAGCACGCAAAGGUGGGAACUCUAAUGAGACUGCCGGGGACAACUCGGAGGAAGGUGGGGACGACGUCAAAUCAUCAUGCCCCUUAUGUCUUGGGCUACACACGUGCUACAAUGGCCGGUACAAAGGGCAGCGAAACUGUAAGGUGAAGCGAAUCUCAAGAAGCCGGUCCCAGUUCGGAU